UCUAAGUAUAACCUGCCAGACAGGGAAACUGCGUACGGCUCAUUACACCAGCCUUAAUUUACUUGACCUUGACUACCUACUUGGAUAACUGUGGUAAUUCUAGAGCUAAUACAUGCACCAAAGCUCCGAUCCUCGCGGAGAGGAGCGCAUUUGUUCGCCACAAAACCAAGCCCCCAUCUGGGCGUCCAGUGCUGAACCAGAACAACUCAGCUGAUCGCACGGUCUUGUACCGGCGACGUGUCUUUCAAGUGUCUGCCUUAUCAACUUUCGAUGGUAGUGUACCUGACUACCAUGGUUGUGACGGGUAACGGAGGAUAAGGGUUCGACUCCGGAGAAGGGGCCUGAGAAAUGGCCACUACGUCUAAGGAUGGCAGCAGGCGCGCAAAUUACCCACUCUCAACGCGAGGAGGUACUGACGAGAAAUAACGAGACCGUUCUCAUACGAGGCCGGUUAUUGGAAUGGGUACAAUUUAAA
This 475-nucleotide ribosomal RNA is filed under the name unidentified nematode Sourhope farm. Its description in RNAcentral is "SSU rRNA". It matches the Rfam family "Eukaryotic small subunit ribosomal RNA", at positions 58 to 529 of the family's 1831-position model. The record is from RNAcentral. Lineage: Eukaryota; Metazoa; Nematoda.